UUCGGCAGAAUUUGAAUGUUUACAUAAAUUAGAAGAUUUCCAUCUAUGUCCACUGGAAGAUUAUAAAAAAAGAAGAGAGAAAAUUUAAGCAGGCAGACCUCCAGAGCUUUGAUAGGUCAUUUGGGUGGUACCUUUGGUGUAUUGGAUACAAAGAAGAAAUGGAUUCAGUUCCUGCCUCUGGCACACACUAGCUGGAUAGAAAAUGUUAGGUAUCACUUGAUGUCUCUGUCAAGUCUCUAAGACUUUUAAGACUGUAAUUUUCCCAAGAGUUGGUCCUGUGAUGUACUUAUCAUGGAAGUAACUUAAUCUUCCCCAGUGGGAAGCUGGCCCAAAACCUUCGAUGCAAGUAAGUGCUCCAUGAAUGUUUACUGAAUGAAUGAUCACACCACAAGUAUU
Molecule: long non-coding RNA, 396 nt
Filed under: Monodelphis domestica (gray short-tailed opossum)
Lineage: Eukaryota; Metazoa; Chordata; Mammalia; Didelphimorphia; Didelphidae
Description: lncRNA (ENSMODG00000035939.2)
Source: RNAcentral